RNAcentral lists this ribosomal RNA (862 nucleotides) under uncultured bacterium. RNAcentral describes it as "bacterial SSU rRNA". It matches the Rfam family "Bacterial small subunit ribosomal RNA", at positions 28 to 896 of the family's 1533-position model. The record is from RNAcentral.
GACGAACGCUGGCGGCGCGCCUAACACAUGCAAGUCGAACGGGGUUCUUUUGGGAAGCUUGCUCCCGGCUGAACCUAGUGGCGGACGGGUGAGUAACACGUGAGCAACCUGCCGGAGAGUGGGGGAUAACGUCUGGAAACGGACGCUAAUACCGCAUAAUAUCGAGAGAUGGCAUCAUUUUUCGAUCAAAGGAUUUAUUCGCUCUUCGAUGGGCUCGCGCCCGAUUAGAUAGUUGGUGAGGUAACGGCUCACCAAGUCUGCGAUCGGUAGCCGGACUGAGAGGUUGAUCGGCCACAUUGGGACUGAGACACGGCCCAGACUCCUACGGGAGGCAGCAGUGGGGGAUAUUGCACAAUGGGGGAAACCCUGACCCAGCGACGCCGCGUGAGGGAAGAAGGUUUUCGGAUUGUAAACCUCUGUCUUCGGGGAAGAUAAUGACGGUACCCGAGGAGGAAGCCACGGCUAACUACGUGCCAGCAGCCGCGGUAAAACGUAGGUGGCAAGCGUUGUCCGGAAUUACUGGGUGUAAAGGGAGCGCAGGUGGGCUAGCAAGUCGAAUGUGAAAUCUAUGGGCUCAACCCAUAAAUUGCGUUCGAUACUGUUAGUCUUGAGUGAAGUAGAGGCAGGCGGAAUUCCCGGUGUAGCGGUGGAAUGCGUAGAUAUCGGGAGGAACACCAGUGGCGAAGGCGGCCUGCUGGGCUUUAACUGACACUGAGGCUCGAAAGCGUGGGUAGCAAACAGGAUUAGAUACCCUGGUAGUCCACGCUGUAAACGAUGAUUACUAGUGUGGGGGGACUGACCCCUUUCGUGCCGCAGUUAACACAAUAAGUAAUCCACCUGGGGAGUACGACCCGCAAGGGUG